Molecule: ribosomal RNA, 492 nt
Filed under: uncultured bacterium
Lineage: Bacteria
Description: partial 16S ribosomal RNA
Rfam family: Bacterial small subunit ribosomal RNA
Source: RNAcentral
AUUGAACGCUGGCGGCAUGCUUUACACAUGCAAGUCGAACGGUAACAGGCCUUCGGUUGCUGACGAGUGGCGAACGGGUGAGUAAUGCAUCGGAACGUGCCCAGAGGUGGGGGAUAACGCAGCGAAAGCUGUGCUAAUACCGCAUGUGAUCUGAGGAUGAAAGCGGGGGACCAGGCAGCAAUGUUUGGCCUCGCGCCUUUGGAGCGGCCGAUGUCCGAUGAGGUGGUUGGUUGGGUAAAGGCCUACCAAGCCGACGAUCUGUAGCUGGUCUGAGAGGACGAUCAGCCACACUGGAACUGAGCCACGGACCAGACUCCUACGGGAGGCAGCAGUGGGGAAUGUUGGACAAUGGGCGGAAGCCUGAUCCAGCAAUGCCGCGUGCGGGAAGAAGGCCUUCGGGUUGUAAACCGCUUUUGUACGGAACGAAAAGGCUCUGGCUAAUACCUGGGGCUGAUGACGGUACCGUAAGAAUAAGCACCGGCUAACUACGUG